RNAcentral lists this ribosomal RNA (477 nucleotides) under uncultured bacterium. RNAcentral describes it as "partial 16S ribosomal RNA". It matches the Rfam family "Bacterial small subunit ribosomal RNA", at positions 30 to 507 of the family's 1533-position model. The record is from RNAcentral.
AUUGAACGCUGGCGGCAUGCCUUACACAUGCAAGUCGAACGGUAACAGGUUAAGCUGACGAGUGGCGAACGGGUGAGUAAUGUAUCGGAACGUGCCCAGUCGUGGGGGAUAACUGCUCGAAAGAGCAGCUAAUACCGCAUACGACCUGAGGGUGAAAGCGGGGGAUCGCAAGACCUCGCGCGAUUGGAGCGGCCGAUAUCAGAUUAGGUAGUUGGUGAGGUAAAGGCUCACCAAGCCGACGAUCUGUAGCUGGUCUGAGAGGACGACCAGCCACACUGGGACUGAGACACGGCCCAGACUCCUACGGGAGGCAGCAGUGGGGAAUUUUGGACAAUGGGCGCAAGCCUGAUCCAGCCAUGCCGCGUGCGGGAAGAAGGCCUUCGGGUUGUAAACCGCUUUUGUCAGGGAAGAAAAGGUUCUGGCUAAUACCUGGGACUCAUGACGGUACCUGAAGAAUAAGCAGCGGCUAACUACGUG